RNAcentral lists this long non-coding RNA (648 nucleotides) under Actinidia chinensis (golden kiwifruit). RNAcentral's name for it is "long non-coding RNA (ACHI_LNC006816)". Lineage: Eukaryota; Viridiplantae; Streptophyta; Magnoliopsida; Ericales; Actinidiaceae. The record is from RNAcentral.
UAUUUUUGUAUAUUUACCAACUUACAUGUGAUGAUCAAGGACAAAUAGAAGGACUAAUUGUCCUAAACCUACAAAAAAGACCUCGGAUAAUGUCUCGGCCGGCGGCUAACCGAGGUCACUUUGAUGCUCAAGUCAGCGAUAGCUAACAAGAAAAUAAAUAUACAAAAAUUUAAUAUAUUGUUCCACACCUUAGUCUUGGGAAGUGUUGAGAUUUAUAGUUGAGAGUUUAAUUUGGGCCAAGGCAUCCUAUUUGGGAGGUCCAUCUAAUCAAGUCCGAUAGUCAAUCGUGUUGGUUCUCGCAAAACCAAACAAGUGCAAAAAAAUCAAAACACCUUAUAUAAAAAUAUAAAACAAAGUCAAAGUAUUACAUAAGGUACUCGCAUUUGUAUGUUUAGUAAAUCGUACCUUCUUGCGUGACGAUAUAACUUCAACUAAAAAAACAUUAAAUCCACCAAGAUGAUACCAACACCUACAAAAGAGGACCCGGUUAAUGCCUCGUGACAUGUCGGGGGCACUCCGAAUUCAAGUUAAUUGUAGCCUACGAGAAUAUAUAUAGAGAAAAUGUAUCUCACGAUUAUAUACCUUAACCCUUGGUGGUGUGGAUCUCUAUAUAAGAGGGCUUUACUCAGGGCCACAAUUUACGUGGUC